AAAUCGACCGAAAAAAGAAAGAAAAUAAAUGGAAAUGGAAAAUAAAAGGUAGCGUUCCAGAAAAGCUAAAAAAAGUCACCGUGGCUUUCCCUGCAAUUAGGGUUCUUUUCCGUUCUCUUCCUCCUUCCACCUCUCGCUUUCAGUUCCCCUCCCACUUCCAGGGUUUUGUAUGAUUGAGGGGUUUGAGCAGUGGAAGAAAAAUUUGUGUAGAAUUGGGAUAAAGUUUGUGUGAUUGAUAGAUUGGGUUGGUAGCUAUGUCGUGGUUUCGAGCUGGGUCUAGUGUGGCAAAGCUUGCCAUUAGGAGAAGUUUGUCGAAUAGUGGAUCCUAUGCGGCUAGAAGGCGGGUCCUUCCGUCCCAAAGCCGAGAUUUUCACACCACAAUAUCUAAAUCGAGGGCUGCCCCGGUUCCACGCCCUGUACCCCUCUCCAGGCUAACUGAUAGUUUCUUGGAUGGAACCAGUAGUGUUUAUCUGGAGGGGCUUCAGAGGGCUUGGGAAGCUGAUCCCAAUAGCGUCGAUGAGUCGUGGGACAAUUUCUUUAGGAAUUUUGUGGGGCAGGCCUCUACCUCUCCCGGAAUUUCGGGGCAGACCAUUCAAGAGAGUAUGCGCUUGUUGUUGCUUGUGAGGGCAUACCAGGUUAAUGGCCACAUGAAGGCUAAAUUGGACCCUUUGGGUUUGGAGGAGAGAGAUAUCCCAGAUGAUUUGGACCCUGCUCUAUGGGUUCACUGAGUCUGAUCUCGACAGGGAGUUCUUUUUGGGGGUCUGGAGGAUGGCUGGGUUUUUGUCUGAGAACCGUCCUGUGCAGACCCUUAGGUCCAUUUUGACCCGGCUUGAGCAGGCUUACUGUGGGACCAUUGGGUAUGAGUAUAUGCACAUUGCAGAUCGUGAGAGAUGUAACUGGUUGAGAGACAAGAUUGAGACUCCUACGCCCAUGCAAUACAAUAGGCAGCGCCGUGAGGUUAUUCUUGAUAGGCUUAUUUGGAGUACACAGUUUGAGAACUUCUUGGCUACUAAGUGGACAACAGCAAAGAGGUUCGGACUUGAAGGUGGAGAAACUCUUAUUCCGGGCAUGAAGGAGAUGUUUGAUAGGGCUGCUGAUCUCGGGGUUGAGAGCAUAGUAAUUGGAAUGCCUCACAGAGGCAGACUGAAUGUAUUGGGUAAUGUGGUGCGGAAGCCUUUGCGUCAGAUAUUUAGUGAAUUUAGUGGUGGUACAAAGCCUGUGGAUGAAGUUGGGCUUUACACUGGGACUGGUGAUGUCAAGUAUCACUUGGGAACCUCUUAUGAUCGACCCACAAGAGGUGGGAAGAGAAUUCAUUUAUCUUUGGUUGCAAAUCCAAGUCACUUGGAAGCUGUGGACCCUGUCGUUGUCGGAAAAACUAGAGCAAAGCAGUAUUAUUCAAAUGAUGCGGACAGGACCAAGAAUAUGGGCAUUUUGAUUCAUGGAGACGGUAGCUUUGCUGGACAAGGUGUGGUCUAUGAGACUCUGCAUUUGAGUGCUCUUCCUAACUACACCACUGGUGGGACUAUACACAUUGUGGUGAACAACCAAGUUGCCUUCACAACUGACCCAAUGUCGGGAAGAUCUUCUCAGUAUUGUACUGAUGUUGCCAAAGCAUUGAAUGCCCCGAUUUUCCAUGUAAAUGGUGAUGACAUGGAGGCAGUCGUUCAUGUCUGUGAGCUUGCCGCUGAAUGGCGCCAGACUUUCCAUUCUGAUGUUGUGGUGGAUUUAGUGUGCUAUCGUCGAUUUGGGCAUAAUGAGAUUGACGAGCCAUCUUUCACACAGCCCAAUAUGUACAAGGUUAUUCGGAAUCAUCCCUCAGCUCUAACAAUCUACCAGAACAAACUUCUAGAGUCUGGACAAGUGACCAAAGAAGACAUUGAAAGGAUACAAAACAAGGUUAAUUCAAUUCUCAAUGAAGAGUUCUUGUCUAGCAAGGAUUAUGUUCCUCAAAGAAGGGACUGGCUUUCAUCUCAUUGGUCUGGAUUUAAGUCACCUGAGCAGAUUUCUCGUAUCCGGAAUACUGGGGUAAAACCAGAGAUUUUGAAGAGUGUUGGCAAAGCUGUCACUGCCCUUCCAGAAACUUUUAAACCUCACAGAGCAGUAAAGAAGGUGUAUGAACAACGUGGACAAAUGAUUGAGACUGGUGAAGGGAUUGAUUGGGCAGUUGCUGAAGCACUUGCCUUUGCCACACUACUAGUAGAAGGUAACCAUGUUCGACUGAGUGGUCAGGAUGUUGAAAGAGGUACCUUUAGUCAUCGGCAUUCUGUUCUUCACGACCAGGAAACUGGGGAAAAGUAUUGUCCUCUUGACCAUAUUACGGCUGGCCAAGAUGAGGAAAUGUUUACAGUUAGCAACAGCUCACUCUCAGAGUUUGGUGUUCUUGGAUUUGAAUUGGGUUACUCGAUGGAGAGUCCAAAUGCAUUAGUGAUUUGGGAAGCUCAAUUUGGUGAUUUUGCCAAUGGAGCUCAUGUUAUCUUUGAUCAGUUUUUGAGUAGUGGGGAGUCCAAGUGGCUUCGUCAAACUGGGCUUGUUGUGCUGCUUCCUCAUGGUUACGAUGGCCAGGGCCCUGAACAUUCUAGUGCCCGCCUAGAGCGAUUUCUUCAGAUGAGUGAUGACAAUCCUUUUGUCAUACCUGAGAUGGAUCCCACACUUCGAAAGCAAAUUCAGGAAUGCAAUUGGCAGGUUGUGAAUGUGACAACUCCUGCCAACUACUUCCAUGUACUGCGUCGUCAGAUACACAGGGAAUUCCGCAAGCCUCUUAUUGUUAUGGCUCCUAAAACCUUCUACGGCACAAGGACUGCAAAUCAAAUUUAUCUGAGUUUGAUGAUGUGCAAGGCCACCCAGGUUUUGACAAGCAGGGGACUAGAUUUAAGCGACUCAUCAAGGACCAGAAUCACCACUCUGAUCUUGAGGAGGGUAUUAGACGGCUGGUUCUGUGCUCUGGCAAGGUUUAUUAUGAGCUUGAUGAACAGCGAAGAAAGGUUGAAGCAAAGGAUGUUGCAAUUUGUAGAGUGGAACAGCUUUGCCCCUUCCCGUAUGACCUUAUCCAGCGAGAGCUGAAGCGAUAUCCAAAUGCUGAGAUAGUUUGGGUCCAGGAAGAGCCAAUGAACAUGGGUGCCUACAGCUAUAUUGCACCCCGCCUUAGCACUGCCAUGAAGUCCCUGGGUAGAGGAACUAUCGACGACAUCAAAUAUAUUGGCCGUGCUCCAUCAGCUGCAUCAGCCACUGGUUUCUAUUCGGUUCAUUUGAAGGAACAAAGUGAGAUUGUACAGAAAGCGGUACAGAAGGAGCCAAUUGAAUCUCACAGCUGAAGCAGCGCCUCUCAGACAUUAAGAUUUUUUGCUUCUUUGUUUAAUGCUCGUGUUUUGAGAACAAGGUCAAUCUGCUUUAUCAUCAACGACACAAGGUUGGUUAGACUUUGGCCAUUCCGGAUGAUUAUCUUUCGGAUAUUCAUUGUUAUUUCCCGUUAUGUAUUUGGUUAAGCAUGAUUAUACUACUUGGAAGGUUUUUGUCUCGUCCUUUCCACUCCUUGAAUUUCGUUAAACUGAUAUCUCCGGCGGCAUGUAUCUCAACACCACAACAAGAAUUUGAUUGCAAAUGA
Non-coding RNA from Malus domestica (apple), 3601 nucleotides. The record is from RefSeq and is a predicted model, not a curated record. NCBI's taxonomy places the organism in Eukaryota, Viridiplantae, Streptophyta, Magnoliopsida, Rosales, Rosaceae.